CAUUUUUCAAAGACGUUUUUCAAGACACAGGAGAGGUCGGGUUGAAACAUUACUGAUGUUUCACGUUAAAAAUGGCUCUAAAGAUUGAUGCUAAACAACGUUUGACAUGUUUGAACAAUGUAAAUAGAUUAUUUUUUUUACUUUUCGCCGUGAAUCCCCCCCCCCGCGCUACUUUUUAGUAGCCUACCGAAGCGCUAACAACAUGGAACAACUUGGAGUUAUUUGGACAUCAAUUAUGAACUUUGUCAAAAGAAACCACAUUUGUAGUGGACCUGGGAUUUCUAGAAGUGCCAAUGGAUGAAGAUAAUCAAAGAUCCCGGCUGUCUUCAAAGCACCAUAAAUCCAGAGAAUGACAGACUUUGAUGACAAAGUUAGAUUACAAAAUUUGCCCACAAGAAGAACCGCCGCACCACCUUCAUGUUCAAGUGAGCACAGCACAACAAGAAUCACGCACAUGAAUUGAUGGAGUCAGCAGGAGCUUCAGCGCCAGCCCUGUCCAUGGAAGAAAGGGUUGCCCGGGAGUCCAGAAGGCAGGCGGAGCACUCCUUUGACAUCUCAGGCCGGUGGUAGCUGGUCCGAUGCAGGACGAUGAGGUGCAGGAGGUCCCUCCGCCCUUCCUGGACAUCGGGGGGGCCCGGCGUACACAGUCCGGUCCAUCUUGGACUCCAGGUGCUGGGUGAGGGGCCUGCAGUACCUCGUGGACUGGGAGGGGUACGGCCCGGAGGAGAGGUGCUGGGUACGUGUGGAGGACAUAUUGGACCCAGCGCUAAUCCGGGAGUUCCACAGCCUCCAUCCGGAUCGCCCUGCGCAUCGCCCUCCGGGGCAUCCUCGAGGCCGGCGUCGGCUCGCUGUGGGAGCCGCGCGUCGGGGGGUACUGUCACGACACCGACGGAAGGUGGCGCCCCUCCUUGCCCGGGCGGCGCUCGGCGGUCGUCGUCGGCGGCCUACUAGCUGCCAUUGAUCCUCUGUUUCACUUUCUGUUGGUUAGGUCUAGGUUAGGCACGCACCUGUUUUGUAUUUGUUGUUAGUGGGGGGGGUAUUUAGUCUAGCUAGGUAGGUUUGUGUUUUGUGCGUGAUUGUUCUGUGUCAGGACGUAUAUCGUUCGCGGAACAAGUGUUUCCAUCUGCCUGUGUUUUUUUUCGCAGAGGUUAUUGUGGGCUGCGUCCCUGCUGUUUUGAGCUGGGUUUUUGGAGCAUUUGUUUUAUGCGCCCUGCCCUACCUUGUUUCGUACAAUGGAUGCCCAUUAAAAGUGUGUUCACAGAUUUUCUGUCUCCUGCGCUUGACUCUACCUCUCCUGCUUCCUUGAGCCAACCUUGACAUGCGGAGUUACUUGCUUGGAUCUCAAGUU
RNAcentral lists this long non-coding RNA (1348 nucleotides) under Salmo salar (Atlantic salmon). RNAcentral's name for it is "lncRNA (ENSSSAG00000098631.1)". The record is from RNAcentral. Lineage: Eukaryota; Metazoa; Chordata; Actinopteri; Salmoniformes; Salmonidae.